This 106-nucleotide ribosomal RNA is filed under the name Candidatus Kaiserbacteria bacterium RIFCSPHIGHO2_01_FULL_58_22. The record is from RNAcentral. RNAcentral also lists the same sequence under 1 other name. Lineage: Bacteria; Candidatus Kaiseribacteriota.
UCUGGUGACUCACCGCCGAGGUCACACCCGAUCCCAUUCCGAACUCGGAAGUUAAGCUCGGUAGGGGCAAUGGUAGUGGAAACGCAAGAGUAGCCAGUCGCCAGAA